RNAcentral lists this long non-coding RNA (346 nucleotides) under Phoenix dactylifera (date palm). Its description in RNAcentral is "long non-coding RNA (PDAC_LNC006866)". Lineage: Eukaryota; Viridiplantae; Streptophyta; Magnoliopsida; Arecales; Arecaceae. The record is from RNAcentral.
UGUAGGAGGCAAAGACGAUCUCUAAAUAACUUAAUUAGUUGGAUAAGCAAUUAACUCAAAUUUCACAAGUUGGAGAAGAUUUUAUAAGUUUUGUUGAAGUUCUAGAGUAGAGGAAUGGACCUCAAGACGAUAGAAGCCAACCCCUAAAUGACCACAAGCUUAGGCAAAAAGCCAAAUCUUUGGACAAUUUCAAGAAUCAAUCCCAGCACCACUCGAGUCGACCCCAACAUGCUGUAAAGGACUAGUAUAUCUCCAUGAGUUGACCCCACCAACAUAUAGUCAAUCUUAGAACAAUCUCAGAAUAGAACAGAGCAUACUGAAAAACUGUCACUCUACGAGUCGACCC